GGCCUAACACAUGCAAGUCGAGCGGUAACAGAAAGUAGCUUGCUACUUUGCUGACGAGCGGCGGACGGGUGAGUAAUGCUUGGGAACAUGCCUUGAGGUGGGGGACAACAGUUGGAAACGACUGCUAAUACCGCAUAAUGUCUACGGACCAAAGGGGGCUUCGGCUCUCGCCUUUAGAUUGGCCCAAGUGGGAUUAGCUAGUUGGUGAGGUAAUGGCUCACCAAGGCGACGAUCCCUAUAGCUGGUUUGAGAAGGAUGAUCAGCCACACUGGGACUGAGACACGGCCCAGACUCCUACGGGAGGCAGCAGUGGGGAAUAUUGCACAAUGGGCGCAAGCCUGAUGCAGCCAUGCCGCGUGUGUGAAGAAGGCCUUCGGGUGGUAAAGCACUUUCAGUCAGGAGGAAAGGUUAGUAGUUAAUACCUGCUAGCUGUGACGUUACUGACAGAAGAAGCACCGGCUAACUCCGUGCCAGCAGCCGCGGUAAUACGGAGGGUGCGAGCGUUAAUCGGAAUUACUGGGCGUAAAGCGUACGCAGGCGGUUUGUUAAGCGAGAUGUGAAAGCCCCGGGCUCAACCUGGGAACUGCAUUUCGAACUGGCAAACUAGAGUGUGAUAGAGGGUGGUAGAAUUUCAGGUGUAGCGGUGAAAUGCGUAGAGAUCUGAAGGAAUACCGAUGGCGAAGGCAGCCACCCUGGGUCAACACUGACGCUCAUUU
This 716-nucleotide ribosomal RNA is filed under the name Pseudoalteromonas sp. D102-A12. RNAcentral's name for it is "bacterial SSU rRNA". It matches the Rfam family "Bacterial small subunit ribosomal RNA", at positions 45 to 752 of the family's 1533-position model. Lineage: Bacteria; Pseudomonadati; Pseudomonadota; Gammaproteobacteria; Alteromonadales; Pseudoalteromonadaceae. The record is from RNAcentral.